CUCAUGGUUUCACGGUAUUGCAAUGAGAACAAUUUAAAACCCUUAGCGAGAAUCAAGUGGAGGACAAGUCUGGUGCCAGCACCCGCGGUAAUUCCAGCUCCACUAGCGUAUAUUAAAGUUGUUGCAGUUAAAAAGCUCGUAGUUGAACCUCUGUCUGGGGCUAGUUUUGGCUUUGGUCAGGCUAGUUCUAGGCAUCCGCCUACAUGACUUAGAGGGCAUUCAGUUGUUCACUAGGAGGAGUAGGCAUUUUACUUUGAAAAAAUUAGAGUGUUUAAGGCAGGCAAUCGCCCGCAUAUAUUAGCAUGGAAUAAUAGAAUAGGACACUUUUCCAUUUCGUUGGUUAUUGGAAUCGUGUAAUGAUUAAUAGGGACAGUUGUGGGCAUUUGUAUUUAAUUGUCAGAGGUGAAAUUCUUGGAUUUAUUAAAGACAAACUAACGCGAAAGCAUUUGCCAAGGAUGUUUUCAUUAAUCAAGAACGAAAGUUAGGGGAUCAAAGACGAUCAGAUACCGUCCUAGUCUUAACUAUAAACUAUUCCGACUCAAUGUUUGACUGGCUUAUAUAACCAGUUGAGCGUUGUAUGAGAAAUCAAAGUCUUUAGGUUCUGGGGGGAGUAUGGUUGCAAAGCUGAAACUUAAAGGAAUUGACGGAAGAGCACAACCAGGAGUGGAUUCUGCGGCUUAAUUUGACUCAACACGGGGAAACUUACCAGGUUAAAACAAUAGUGGGAUUGACAGUUUGAGAGCGCUUUCUUGAUUGGUUGGGUGGUGGUGCAUGGCCGUUCUUAGUUGGUGGAGUGAUUUGUCUGCUUAAUUGCGUUAACGAACGAGACCUUAACCUGCUUACUAGACUGGCGAUCAUCAAUCGUUAGCUCUUCUUAGAGGGACUUUGGUUGUUUUAACUCCAAGGAAGUUUGAGGCAAUAACAGGCCUGUGAUGCCCUUAGAUAUCCUGGGCCGCACGCGUCAUACAAUGACUAGUUCAGAAAGUUUUCUCCUGACCCGAAAGGGGAUGGGUAAUCUUGAUAAUACUAGUCGUGUUAGGGAUCGAUCUUUGCAAUUAUAGAUCUUGAACGAGGAAUUCCUAGUAAGUGCGGUUCAUCAGACCGUACUGAUUACGUCCCUGCUCUUUGUACACACCGCCCGUCGCUUCUACCGAGUGGGUGGUCCGGUGAGAUAAUUGAACUUCGCAGGUAGCUGAGAGGAAAGAUUAUCAAACCUAUCCACCU
Molecule: ribosomal RNA, 1224 nt
Filed under: metagenome
Description: SSU rRNA
Rfam family: Eukaryotic small subunit ribosomal RNA
Source: RNAcentral